CUGGCGGCGUGCUUAACACAUGCAAGUCGAACGAGAAUCUGCGGAAAGAGGAUUCGUCCAAUUGAAGCAGAGGACAGUGGCGGACGGGUGAGUAACGCGUGAGGAACCUGCCUUUCAGAGGGGGACAACAGUUGGAAACGACUGCUAAUACCGCAUGACACAUCGGAGUCGCAUGGCUCUGAUGUCAAAGAUUUAUCGCUGAAAGAUGGCCUCGCGUCUGAUUAGCUAGUUGGUGAGGUAACGGCCCACCAAGGCGACGAUCAGUAGCCGGACUGAGAGGUUGAACGGCCACAUUGGGACUGAGAUACGGCCCAGACUCCUACGGGAGGCAGCAGUGGGGAAUAUUGGGCAAUGGGCGCAAGCCUGACCCAGCAACGCCGCGUGAAGGAAGAAGGCUUUCGGGUUGUAAACUUCUUUUGUCAGGGACGAGUAGAAGACGGUACCUGACGAAUAAGCCACGGCUAACUACGUG
RNAcentral lists this ribosomal RNA (472 nucleotides) under uncultured bacterium. RNAcentral's name for it is "bacterial SSU rRNA". It matches the Rfam family "Bacterial small subunit ribosomal RNA", at positions 36 to 507 of the family's 1533-position model. The record is from RNAcentral.